UACGGAGGGGGCUAGCGUUGUUCGGAAUUACUGGGCGUAAAGCGCACGUAGGCGGCUUUGUAAGUUAGAGGUGAAAGCCCGGAGCUCAACUCCGGAAUUGCCUUUAAGACUGCAUCGCUAGAAUUGUGGAGAGGUAAGUGGAAUUCCGAGUGUAGAGGUGAAAUUCGUAGAUAUUCGGAAGAACACCAGUGGCGAAGGCGACUUACUGGACACAUAUUACGCUGAGGUGCGAAAGCGUGGGGAGCAAACAGG
This 252-nucleotide ribosomal RNA is filed under the name uncultured bacterium. Its description in RNAcentral is "partial 16S ribosomal RNA". It matches the Rfam family "Bacterial small subunit ribosomal RNA", at positions 524 to 776 of the family's 1533-position model. The record is from RNAcentral.